GGAUAAUAGGAAUAGAAUGCCUUUUGUUUCACUGAAACUCUGAAUUUAUAACCUGAUUUUUGUGGACCUGUGGGCUCAAAUGAGAGAGGCCCAAGUCCAAAAUUUUUCUAUUAUAUUUUAUUUAUUUAUUUAUUUAUUUACUUCUUUUUUUUCGUUUUUCGUUUUCUUUUUCGUUUUUUUUUUCAUUUUUUUUUUUCGUUUUUCGUUUUUUUUUAAACAUGUGGGCUUCGCCUAGCGAGCAUGACAGUUCAAG
RNAcentral lists this long non-coding RNA (253 nucleotides) under Lathyrus oleraceus (garden pea). Its description in RNAcentral is "Pisum sativum (pea) long non-coding RNA (PSAT_LNC017818)". Lineage: Eukaryota; Viridiplantae; Streptophyta; Magnoliopsida; Fabales; Fabaceae. The record is from RNAcentral.